UGCUGGCAGCGGAAGCCUCUGACACCCUCCUCUCCUGGGCUCUGAGGAGGUGCUGAGCUCCAGUCUGCCCUGCAGAGGAGCUUGGGGCCAGGCGAGGAUUCACUCCAAAUCACAGCUGUUGGGAAUCUUGGGUCUACUCUCAGUGAGUUUUAAAAAUAUAUAAAAUUAUCCAUUUCUGUUGUUGAAAGAGCCUGAAACAAUGUAGAUCACCAGCCAGAUUCUGGUCAUGAGAAAGCAUCACCGUAAGGACAAGGCCGAACCAUCCUUCUCCAAGGUUCUAAUCCUGGUCAGUUCUUAUAAAGCCAUCCAGCCGUCCUGGAAAUCCUGCUCCGGCCCACCUGCUGUGUGGGGCUUCAGGAAAUGAGUUACCGAACCCUGGAGAGUCAGAAGACCGAAGGCGUCCAGAGAGGCCCCAGUCAGUGAGCCUGGCCCAGGGGACAUAAUCGCCUGGUCCAUACGGAGGAGUGAGAUUUACCUGAAUUCACAGAUGAAAGACAGAGAGAACAGGCUGCCUGCGGCUGAGCACCUGGAGUCUGCGACACCUUGGGUUGUCACCAGCGGGGCUGCAGGUGCUGGGGUCCAGGUCCCCUCUGAGCCCGGCCUAGCAGGGCCACGCGCACCUCCUGUGUCCAGUUCCACCUUGGUCCUGCAGACGUGGUGACUGGAGCCCAAGGGCCUGUGACCGGAUCUGUCCCCACUUCUGGGCCAAUUUCCUGGGCUGUGUUUUGAUAAGGGCUCCCGUCCUUUCUGCUUCAUGGUGGGCUGCAUCAGACUCUCUCAAACUGCUUACUCAAGAUUAUGAAAACAUUAGUUUUCCUAGGGAAGAAGGACUGAGCCUGAUGUGUUUGCAGUGGUCCUCCAGCCUGUGGCCCCUGUCUGCCCUUGAAAAAUGUUUGCUGAGUGCAUAAGAGGGCUGAUUAAUGAGUUAAAUAGCUGAGGUGUGGCUUGUUUUGCUCACACUGGAUGAUAUCCUAGAAAUGGACUCCUUCUGAGGGAGCAAUUAAUGUAGAUUUGAUUUUAUUACAAAAAUAAACUAUCCCUUAUUUUGUAUUAACUGAUUUUUUUGUUGCAAUUGGAUCAGUGGAAAAAACUGAGAUUAAAUCCUCGUUAGCAUAUAACUGUUGUAGAACUGUCCAUGUGGCCUGCAUGAAAAGCCUUGCAGGAUUAAAUGACAUUGAGCAGGUGCUUACUAGGUGCCAGACGCCUGAAUGUUUUGAAGAACAAAAUAAAUACUUUCUUCGGUGCAGUGUAAUAUCCUGGAUUGAAUCUUGAACCUUAGUGGAAAACUGGCAAACUGAACAAAACCCAGAGUUCACUGCGAUGUCCCAGGGUGGGUGCCUCUGCCUGUCACAUGUGCCCCGGUGGAGCCCUCACCAAGCUGGGCCAGGACAUGCCGGCACUGGCCCUGCUCUCUGGGCAGCUCCUGUGCUAUGCCUCAGGUUCUCCAGAAUGAAAGCGUCCUUCUCGUGGGUGCUCAUUCAUUACCCCUUACAACCAGCCUUGAUGGAAGUGUCAUUUUUAGCCUCUUUUAUAAGCAGGAGUCUAGAGGGCAGAGAGGUUAAAUUAUUUCCCGGGGCGGCCACCACGGGUGCGUUGACACGGGUUUCCAGGGUAAAGCCUUAAAUUCCUCAAUCCUGGCGGAGAGGUUGACUUCUCCAGUCCUAAGGGGCCCCGGCUCCGGGCUGGUCCCACCCCGCCUCCUUCUGCUUGGCCCAGGUCCGCCCAGAGAUCGCUCGCCUAAAACACAAGUUUUGGAGAGGAUUGAAACUACGUGCAGCAAGGAAAACACGCUGAAGCAAAACUCUCCAGAAAAAAGGCUUUAUUUUCAGCCUUGGAAGCAUUCACUCGCUGCCUCGAGGCAGAAUAUGAUCUUCACCAGCAGACUGAAACUAGCACCUGUGAGAAGCAAAUCCAUGACCAUUAAAAUAUUCAGUCUUGGGUGGGAUAAAACAAACUGUUGUCUCAUUGAAGUUGUGCCAGGAAAAGGGCACAGUUUAGCUGGCUCUGCAGCCAUGACCAGGAAGCAGCUACAGUUGCUUGGAAUUCACAUCACAGCCCGGACACCAAUGGAACCAUCUGGACUGGAUUAUAAAGAUGGUGGUGCCGCUGCUGAUCGGCGCUCCUCUAGGAUACUGUGUGAGCUCACCCCGAUUCCUGUCCCUACUGUCCUGAUAGUACAGUCUCCUCUUCAUCUGUCAGUGCAUCCUCUGCACCAGUAAUAAAACGAGUGAGCUGAGGCAGGUGUAAGGAAAGCCAGUGAAUUCUACCUUCCCCCGCUUCUGGAGGUGCCACUGUAAGUGACACGAAUGACACUGAGCGUGUGGCACACGCAACCCCCGGCCUCGCUGUCUGGACAACGCUUGGGCCUGUGACAGGUGUUGGCACUGAGUUUAAUCGAGCUUCAAAAGAUGAAUUGGGUGGUUCUGCCACCUGCCUCGCAAGCACCAAGGACCCGAGUUCGAUCCCCGGUACCAAAAAAAAAAAAAAAAGAUGAAUUGGGAAACUAUCCUUUUAACUCUAUGAUCCAGAAAAAUGUAAAAAACAUAUCGAAGAAUUAUUUGUAUCUGGAAGAUAACUGUAGACUCACUUGAAGUUGUGAGAGAUAAUGCUGUGCCAUUUAUGCAGUUUCACCCACUUAAUGCCUUGCAAAGCCAGCACUGUGUCACAACUAGGGUCUCGACAUCAACGUGACGGAGGCAACACAAAGUCUCUGCCAUCACCGCAAGUGUCUCCAUGUCGCUCUCUACAGCUCCUUCCUUCCCUCUCCUCUCAGGGGCUCUAACUCCUAACCACGCCCAACACGUUCUCCAUAACAACUACGUCACUGCAAGGAAUAAUGCACCUGGGAUAUACACGGCAUCAUUCAGUUUAUUGACCCUUGGAACUGGCAUUUUUUCUCUCAAUAUGAUUCUCUGGAAACGUAUACAGUAAGAAUUCUAGUUCUUUUGCCUUUUCAUAUAAAUUUUAGAAUAAUUUUGUUGACAGCUGCAAAAAAAAGUCCUGCUGUGAUUUUCCUAAGGAUUAUAUUAAGUCUUCAUACCAGUGGAAGAAUAAUUGACAUCUUUAUUAUUUAGUCUUCUACCGCAUGCACAGUCAUUCCUCUUUUAUUUAGAUCUUCAGUUUCUUUCAUCAGUGUUUCGUAGUUUUCAGCAUAAACAUCUUGUACAUGUUUUGUUGAUUUGCACCUAAGUAUUUCAUUGAAAAUGUUAUUAAUGCAUUUUAAAUUUUGUAGUUUAUAUAAAUGCCGUUCAGUUUUGUAUGUUUAUCUUGUGACCUUGCCAAAUAUAUUUAUUAGAGGAAUAUUUAAUAGAUCCAUUGGAUUUUCUGCAUAAACAAUGUCAUUUUUAAAUAGAGACUAUUUUGUUUUACUUUUCUCUUUAAUUUUUGGUACCAGGGAUCGAACUCGGGUCCUUGAGCUUGUGGAGCAGGCAGUGGAACCACUGAGCUAAAUCCCCAGCCCUUGUUUUAUUUUUCUUUCCCUUCUCUGCUCUUUUGGCUCCUUCUUCCCCUACUGUGCUGCCUAAGGUCGGUGAGAAGAGGAAUCCCUCCAUUCUCCGUGAUUCCAUAGGUGUAGGGGGAACAUUCAGGUUUUCACCUUCAAGUAUAAUGCUGUUAAAUUUUGCUAAAUAUGGUUUCUCUGUCACUUGACAUGAGUAUAAAUUUUUCCUUGUCCUGUUAACAAUACUUUGUAUGUACUGUCAAAUUCUAUUUGCUAGUAUUUUCUCAAGAAUUUUGUAUCUGUAUUUACAGUUUGCUGAUUUGUAGUGUUUUGGGUUUUCUUGUUUGACUCUUUUGUUUGGUAUAAAGGUAAUAUUGGCUUUCUAAAAUAAAUUGUAAACUAUU
This is a long non-coding RNA of Heterocephalus glaber (naked mole-rat), 3843 nucleotides long. RefSeq lists it as uncharacterized. The record is from RefSeq and is a predicted model, not a curated record. NCBI's taxonomy places the organism in Eukaryota, Metazoa, Chordata, Mammalia, Rodentia, Bathyergidae.